RNAcentral lists this ribosomal RNA (388 nucleotides) under Mastomys natalensis (African soft-furred rat). RNAcentral's name for it is "partial small subunit ribosomal RNA". The record is from RNAcentral. Lineage: Eukaryota; Metazoa; Chordata; Mammalia; Rodentia; Muridae.
GCUUAGCCCUAAACUAUAAUAAUUAUAUAACAAAAUUAUUUGCCAGAGAACUACUAGCCACAGCUUAAAACUCAAAGGACUUGGCGGUACUUUAUAUCCAUCUAGAGGAGCCUGUUCUAUAAUCGAUACACCCCGCUUUACCUCACCAUCCCUUGCUAAUUCAGCCUAUAUACCGCCAUCUUCAGCAAACCCUUAAAAAGGAGUAAAAGUAAGCAAGAGAACAAUCAUAAAAACGUUAGGUCAAGGUGUAGCCAAUGAGAUGGAAAGCAAUGGGCUACAUUUUCUAUUUGAGAACAUCACGACAUCCUUUAUGAAACUAAAGGACAAAGGAGGAUUUAGUAGUAAAUUAAGAGUAGAGAGCUUAAUUGAAUAGUGCAAUGAAGUACGU